AUGCCCAAGGCAGGAGACUGUAGCGGCGGCGGCGGCGGUGGCCGGAGGGACCUGCCUCUGCUUUUCCUGAGGGUGGGCGCUGCCAUCACGCUCUCCAUCGCUGGGCUCUUCUUCUCGCGGCUGCGGUGGCAGCACCGGCCUCGGCCCCGGCACCUCCUGCUCCCUCCUCCUUCAGAGCCGGAUGAUGCCCGUGGCAUGAAGGGUGGUGGUGGAGGGCUCAAGGACGAGCUAAGGAUCCUCAAGAAUGAGGAUACCAAGGCAAAAAUAAUCAAUGGUAACUCUGUGCACACAACCACUACCACUACAACGACCACCACCACUGCCUCAGUGUCACUUCCUCCGAAAUGCCGAAACAUUGAUGAUGAUGAUGAUGAUGAUGAUGAAGGAUUUCUCCUUCCAGAAUACAAUGAAAUGGUUAUGGAAGAAUUUGGCGGAGACGUAGGCAAUAUCGCAAGCUCACCUGCAGCAAGAGUAAGGGAAGAUGCAUCUAAUGAGCAUGAAAUUUUCAAGCUCAGAGAUUUGGUUAGAUCUCUGCAAGAAAGGGAAAAGACCCUGGAGAUACAACUUUUGGAGUUGUAUGGUUUGCAGGAGCAAGGUGCUGCAGUUAGGGAGCUUGAGAACCAACUGAAGAUAAACAAUGUCGAGUCACAGCUAUACUCCUUGAAGAUCGAAUCCUUGCAAUCUGAAAAUCAGAGGUUACAAACACAGUUGUCUGAAAGCUCAAAGUUAACUUCCCAGCUUGAGUUGACAAAAUCAAAAUGCAAGCUGUUGAAAAAGAAGUUGAGACUGGAUGCGGAACAAGCAAAGGAGAAAAUCACUUCCCUUCAGAACAUAGUUGAUUCCUUUCAGUGUAAGGAGAUUAUUGAGGGAGAAGUUGACGGCGAGGCUGAGAAGAAAUUAAAGAGGCUAGAGGAAUUGGAAAAUGAGGCAAGAGAGCUUAGAGCUGCAAAUUCAAGGCUGCAGCAGGAGAAUUCACACCUUACUAGGCGAUUGGAGCUCACACGCCUACCGCCUGUACCCAAGUCCCACAAUAGCAUGGAGGUAAAAACAUCAGAACAAGUUGAUGGGUUGAAGCAAGAAAACGAGAAGUUGUCAAAAGAGGUUGAACAACUGCGGACUGACAGGUUUGCAGAUGUUGAGGAGCUGGUAUAUCUUAAAUGGAUCAAUGCUUGCCUGCGGCAUGAGCUGAAGAACAAGGGGACUCCUGGUCCUGGGGCACAAACUACAGCACAGGAUCUAAGCAACACCCUAAGCCCCAAAUCUGAACAGACAGCCAAGCAAUUGAUAAUGGAGUAUGCCAAUGUUGGUGCGGACGAGAGAAGUUUAAGCUCCAUAGAAUUUGGCUCAGAGUACGCUUCUUCAAGGGCAUCAUCAAGUGGCGAACCCGAUGACACAUCGAUCGAUAUGUCAUCAGUCACAACGCCCAGAAACCCGAAGAAGAAAGAGAAGAAGAAGUUUUUCUCUAAGCUACGGAAAUUGGUACUGGGAAAAGAUAAGGAAAAGAACAAUUUCCCUACUUUGGAGAGGAGAGUGUCUAUUUCGAGCUGUUCCUUUGAUGACUUCACUGGAAGAGACUCGCAUGAUAGCUACUCUUCCUUCUUGACAGAAGGAGCCGUAUCUGCCAAUCAGCAGCAUGACGAUCGCAGCUGCGUUACGCCUUCUUUUGGCAGCCAAAGAUAUAGCACAGAAGCAGGAGAUGGAAGAUACCAGCGUCAUGGGGUAAAAAAGAAUGCAUCUUUCGGAUCCGGAAGAUUCAGUGAACAUGGUUCUCAGUUUGAUAGUGGUGAGGCCACAAUACCAGAAGAUGUUGAGAUCCACAAAUUCGCCGAGGCACUGAUUACAUCAAGGACAGGUUCUAUGUCAUCCAGAAGGACAUUAUCCUUCAGCUAA
Molecule: ribosomal RNA, 1890 nt
Filed under: Triticum aestivum (bread wheat)
Lineage: Eukaryota; Viridiplantae; Streptophyta; Magnoliopsida; Poales; Poaceae
Description: partial small subunit ribosomal RNA
Source: RNAcentral